GACGAACGCUGGCGGCGUGCCUAAUACAUGCAAGUUGAGCGCUGAAGGUUGGUACUUGUACCAACUGGAUGAGUAGCGAACGGGUGAGUAACGCGUGGGGAAUCUGCCUUUGAGCGGGGGACAACAUUUGGAAACGAAUGCUAAUACCGCAUAAAAACUUUAAACACAAGUUUUAAGUUUGAAAGAUGCAAUUACAUCACUCAAAGAUGAUCCCGCGUUGUAUUAGCUAGUUGGUGAGGUAAAGGCUCACCGAGGCGAUGAUACAUAGCCGACCUGAGAGGGUGAGCGGCCACAUUGGGACUGAGACACGGCCCAAACCCCUACGGGAGGCAGCAGUAGGGAAUCUUCGGCAAUGGACGAAAGUCUGACCGAGCAACGCCGCGUGAGUGAAGAAUGUUGUCGGAUCGUAAAACUCUGUUGGUAGAGAAGAACGUUGGUGAGAGUGGAAAGCUCAUCAAGUGACGGUAACUACCCAGAAGGGGACGGCUAACUACGUG
Molecule: ribosomal RNA, 497 nt
Filed under: uncultured bacterium
Lineage: Bacteria
Description: partial 16S ribosomal RNA
Rfam family: Bacterial small subunit ribosomal RNA
Source: RNAcentral